Molecule: unclassified non-coding RNA, 364 nt
Filed under: uncultured Chloroflexota bacterium
Lineage: Bacteria; Bacillati; Chloroflexota
Description: uncultured Chloroflexi bacterium contains 16S-23S intergenic spacer region
Source: RNAcentral
UCCGGGUUGGUCCCGGCGGUCCCGCUAGACAUGGUAACUAGCGGCGGGGGUUGCGCUCGUUGCGGGACUUAACCCAACACCUCACGGCACGAGCUGACGACAGCCGUGCAGCACCUGCACAGGCUCCCUCGCGGGUCCCUCGGCUUUCACCUUGGUACCACCUGCAUGUCAAGCCUGGGUAAGGUUCUUCGCGUUGCAUCGAAUUAAACCACACGCUCCGCUGCUUGUGCGGGCCCCCGUCAAUUCCUUUGAGUUUUAGCCUUGCGGCCGUAGUCCCCAGGCGGGGUGCUUAUCGCGUUAGCUGCGGCACCGAGGGGGUCGAUACCCCCGACACCUAGCACCCAUCGUUUACAGCGUGGACUAC